GCCCUAGGAAGAGGUCUGGUGGAUGAAGAGGGAGGUUACAAAGAGCGAGCCGAUUACAGGGUGUCAGAGCUCCAGGUCCUGGGUGGCUGGCAGUGACUUCUGCUUUCAUCCCACAGACAUCUGCGGAAUACAAUGUCUGACUUCUCGGCACUCCAUUUGCUUGGAGACUGGACAGAUCCUCGUUCCAUCUGUCUUCUCCGGAUUAAUGCAGAGGGAGAGGCAAAGGAGAAAGACAAGAGACGAGGAAGGAUCUUACCUACCUGGCAAUGUGGAUCUGGCUUCAUGUUCUGCAGUCUUGGCAGGUAUUCAAACCCAUCUCCUUCUAUCAUGGGUGCCUUCCAGAGUUUUUCAACAUUUUCUCUGGAAUAUUCAGCUGUAUUUUCCAUUAUCUGGGCAACGUAUCCUUCUCUGGCCAUCAGAACUCCCAUCAGCGUCUGAUUUCUGAUGGUCCAUUUAUAUCAGCUCUCCUGUCGGUCCUAUCAUCCUUACAGGUGGUCUUCUUAGGGAGUGUCAGGCAGCUGUGUCUUUAUGGUCCACUUCUAGAUCAUGAGCAUGACUCAUGGAAUUGUAGUAGAAUUGUAGUUAACUUCAAUACGGCCUGCGAUUUCUCUUCCUGUCCUACUGUUUCCAGCUGAAAGCUACAAAUUCUUGCCUUUAGAGUCCUUAGCAUUUGUUAGGCUUAUGCUCACGGCGUACCCGCUAAUGCCUGGAAUCCAUCUCAAGUUCUCCGAGUGGCUCUGUUGAAGCUUACGUGUUGCAAUGAGGGGCAAAGAGUUUGGACAGAGAAUAAACUCACAGUACUCCACUGAUUUCCCA
RNAcentral lists this long non-coding RNA (816 nucleotides) under Ursus maritimus (polar bear). Its description in RNAcentral is "lncRNA (ENSUMAG00000017829.1)". Lineage: Eukaryota; Metazoa; Chordata; Mammalia; Carnivora; Ursidae. The record is from RNAcentral.